CUCAAACUAUGAAAUACAUGACUUCUUAGUCUUCGCACUUUAAUUUAUUAUAAUUUUUGACUUAAAUUUUUAGAAUUAUCGUAAUUAAAUCUCAUAAUCCAAUUAAGUGAAUAAAUUUUAUAACGUAUCAUUGAUAUAAAAGUAGUGUGACAUCUUAAUUAUUAUCGUAUCAUUAAUUAUAAAACCAUUACAUCUUCUUCUUCUUUUACAUUAUUAAUAUAUUAAUAUUUAGUUAAUGAAAUUGGGAUAUAGGACUUGACCGUAAUAAUUUUAAAAGUUUGAGUAAAAAAAUUAUAAUAAACUAAAAUUUGAGUACCAAAAUGUCACCCUCCUCAUUGUUUGAAGACCAAAUUUGUAAUAUGUAAUAUAAUUUAAUAUAUAGGUAAAAAGAUUUUUUUUUUUUUGGUUAUAAUUGGUUUAGCUUACUGUCAUUCCAGGUCAAAGCGUAUAUGCUGAUUUACUGAAAAAAAAAAUGUCUAAAUUUUUAUUUUUUAUAGUCAAACAAAUAAUUUGAACUAAAGAAGUGCAAUUAAUUCAUUACCCAUUCAUUUCUUUAUUUUUAGAUUCAAUGCCUAUUCUCUAUAUUAUUUUAUGCUAGAAUUUAGAUUUUGAGUUACAUAAUCGGUAUCAGCGUGAAUAUCAGUUUCAGCAAUCUCUACAUAAUUCGAUAUUAAGCCUUAUUAUUUUUCUAGUGCAAUGUUAUAUUCACAAUUAUUUUUGGUUGUAAUCUUACAAUAUGUCCAUCCAAGGAUUAAAGUACCCAUCGGCACGGACCGUAUCCAACUUGCCGUACUGUGCCAGUAAGUUACCGGCACGAUACAGCCUUCGUAUCGAUGGUACAACUCAAAGUCCUCUAUUCUUAAAAUUACUAAGUAAUUUUAUUAUUAAAGUUCAAAAGAUUUGAUAAAAAUACAUAAUAAAUAAUUGACAUAUUUUAUUUGCUAAAGAAAAUAAAUAUUUCAUGUCUUUACGUGUUCGCGCACAUAAAUUUUUUGUGACUGGCACGCAUCGGCACGGUGCAGUACCAUGCCGGCAAGUUUUCGGCACGAUCUCGUGUCACGACACUUAAAUCUUUGUGUUCAUCCAUAAACUAAAAUUUUUUAACUUGUCUUUUCACUCCCUAUUUUUAAUAACAAUUUUUUUAAAAAAAUUAUUACAGUAGGGGGAUGGGUUUAAACACUUAGAUGGAGGAUUUGUAAACCUUAUUGUUGAAGAACUAACUUUUUUCGGAAAAGAUGUACUUGUUUCCUUUUAUUAUUAUUUUUAAUAAAACUUAAGUGAAUUAUGAUUCGUCAUUACACUAGAGUUAAGCUCCUACACUUUUAAAAAUACUGAAGCAUUUUGUGUUUAUAACUUUGUAACCAUCGGAUCGUCUCAAGAUCCGUAUAGUAUUAUUAACGAUAUAUCUCAUUUAAGUUUUUUUUAUUAAUACUAUAUGAAUCGUGAGGCAAUCCGAUGGCUAAAAAAUCACAAGCAAAUUGAGCUCCUCAGCUUUCAAAAACAUAGGAGCUCAACUCUCAUUUACUAUUACUUGAUUAAUUUUCUAUUACAAAUUUUGGAUCGUAUAUAUUAAAUGAGGUAUUGUAUAUAAUUAAGUCAUUUGAAAUAAAUAGUACAUUCAAAAUCUAAAUUGGAAGGGCAUAAUUAAAAAAAUCAGAUAGUAAAAUUAGAUUGUUAUUUCAAAAUGAAAUAUCUAAAAUUUUUAACUAUUUUGAUUUAGUUUUAUUAUUUUUCAAAAGGUCUUUUUAAACAAGUAUAAUCCAUAAGACAUAUUGUGCCCUGUGAGAUGAUAAAGAGUCAAAUUAGGAGAUAAUCAUAAUUUUGGAUUAAAAUGAUACUUUAAAAAAUAUGUACACGUCCCUAUCAUAUGUAUAACCUACGAUUUUAAAACUUAAAAAAAGAUAGAGAAAAAAAUAUGUACACGUCCCUAUUAUCUUUUUACUCUAUUUUGAAUGCUGAAUUGGAUUAGGACUUCGUUUGGAUGUGGGAUUGCGAGUACUCUUUAUUUUUUUGCUCUAUCUUGAACGUUGAAUUGAAUUAAGGCUUAGUUUGGUAUUGAGGCCUAUCAAACGUUAUUAAAUAAAAUAAAGUUGAGAAAAAAGCAUAAACGAAUAUGCUUUUGCGUUCUCCGUUGGGACCGCAGAAAAUAUAUCCCCGCACGUAACGUAAUCUCUUCGCAAUCCCAAACGAAGCCUAAGUCUUCCUUUAGAAUUGCGAAAGAUUGCGUUACGUGUGGAUAGAGAGUCGGUUAUGAUAUUUUUUUUAAUUUUUAUUUUAUCAAUAUUUUAUCUAUUAGCUUUGGAUGAGCUUCAAUAUCAAACAAAGCCAAAAUAAAAUUAUUUGGCCAAAUCAAUUUUUAAAGAACUUACUUGUCGAUCCGGCUCAAUAUAGGUUGGUUGAAUCCCUAAUCCGUCGUCCCCGCCCGCCCCCCCUCCUCCCUUUCCGUUCCGUCUCUGUGCAUAUUUCACUGCCGCGGCAGACGGACAUAAGGCGAGUGUAAUCGCAGAGGGAGGGAAGGGCAGACGGACUUAGGGAGAGAGGGAGAGAGAGGGAUGUCGUUCAUGCGGGGGGAUCUGCUGACGCGGAUGCGGAAGCUGGUGAAGGGCCUCGCCAGGCCCGCCCCUGCCUGGCUCAAAGCCAUGGAACAGUAACGCCCGCCUUCCUCUCUAAUUCUCGAUUUGUAAACAGAACAGACACACACACACAACUGGUUCUAGGGUUUUAUGACUGACUGCACCUCGGAUCACAAUCAGGGCGCCGCCUGUCACCUUCCCGCGGACCGACGGCAAGAUCAAGAGGAUCGAGCUGCCGGAGGACGUUUACAUCAAGCGCUUCUACAAGAAGCACCCCGAUUCCUUGUAUCACGACCCCGUCAAGUAAUCUCCUCCUCCUCUUCUUCUUCUUCUAUUGACGCCGUAGUUCGCAGACUUUAAUACGUUGCAAUUUCUGGUUCAAGCUUUCUGAAUUGUUGCUGAUGUGCUAGUAAUGUGGCAUUUUAUUAGUUCUGACGUUUUCAUUACAACACUGCCGACGCUGCUGCUGCCACGUUAGCGAUGCAUCAUUAUUUAACCAACUGAAUUAGACUGCGGCACUUCAUUGCAACAAUUCAAAAAAUUUGAGCCAGGAAUUGUAACAAAUUAAAGCCAUUUGAGGACUCAAGCGUACUCGUGCACCUCAAAAGUUUGAAGACCAAAAAUGCAAUUUAACCCUUUUCUUAUAUGCGUUGUUGUUUCUCAAAUUGCGAAUUUCUGCGAAUAUCCGAGAUUUUGCGUGUUGCAGUUGUUGAUUGAUAUUGUUUAUGUUACAGUUUUACUGGAUUUUUUUUUUUUUUUUUUUUUUUUUUGAGUUGUUUGUUUGCUCUUUGUUUGGAGAGAAUGUAAUGUCUUCAUCCUCAAUAUAAUUUACAAGGAGAAAAUUUUGUUAGUUUUGAAAUGGUUAAGUUGUUUGAGAUUUUGAAAAGCAAGGAUUGCUGGCGACAAGACUUUUUCCGCCGUUUGUUUCUUCUUUAUCUCUUAAUAGCGUGAUUUUGCUUUUUAUAUCCUCGCAUUGUUGCUAUUUAAUUUGUUUUCGUAAUCUAAACUCUAAUUGGAAUAUCGGAUAUCCAUUUUCAACAGGAUAAGUGGGUUCGAUCCGCCUCCUUCGCGAGUUUUCGCUUGGCGUGUGUUGGAGCUGAAAGGGCAGGGAGUCAACGAAGAUGAAGCUAUGGCUGUAGCUGAUGUUAGUAGCACGCGCCGUUCUAUACUAUAAAGCUAUCAUUUUAUUCACACUGCUCGCGCACCUUUCUCUAUACUAAGCACACCUUUCCGCUUUAACUUCAGAUGGAAUAUCUCGCCGAGAAGAGAGCGAAGAAGAAGGCGUACAAAGAACUGAAGCAAAUCGCACGCCUCCAGGGGAAGAAGCCGCCUCCGAACCCAUACCCAAGCGCCAUCAAAGAAAUACAGGCGGAGGAGAAGAAGUUUGUCAGAGAUCGUUUCUUCAAUCCGAAGGUGCUCGAGAUUGUGGAAAAGAUGAAAGAAGAGAAAGCUGCCAGGAUGCUAGAGCAACAGCGAGAAGCCGGCGGUGGUGGUCCGCCACGUAGUCGAGCUUGGUGAAUUCAAUCGUCUGGUAUUUGAACCGAACUGUUCUUUAAAUGCCUGAAAAUUUGAAUGAAAAUCAUGAGAUAUUUUCUAUGUUAUAUUUUUGCAAUAAAAGAAAUGUUGUUGCAUAGGGGAGUUCUUAUAUUAUUGUUUUCUAUUUAAACUUGGCAUGUACAAUGUAGCAUUCCAAUCUUCUUGUAUUAGUAAGCUAUGCGCAUGUCUAUCUAUGAAGCAUCGGAAUCAAUGACGUACAUGUUUGCCGCAAUAUUGAUAUAACAAACGAGACAAAUUUUAAAGUGUUGCUUGUGCGUAAUAGAUAGUAUCAAUUUAUUUGGGGGCAUGCACAAAUCUCGCUGUCCAACAGAAAUGUAACUUUUAGGUCGAUGAAAUCCUAUGAUUUCAAUGAUUUCGCCGACUUGACAGUUAAUUUCAGGGUAGACUUUUCUAGCUUACUAUCUGUCAUUGAUGGUUUCAAAUGCAACGACUGGCGUCUUCUUUACGAGUAACAUUAUUGUUAGUGAUGCCAACAAACAUUUGACAGUUCUGGAUAUAAUAGAUUGGCAGUCUGCAGUGAUUAUAUGGUUAUAAUAUUUUGCUAGCUUAAGAUCCAUAGAAAGCUUAGAAGAAGCAGCACAGCAGAUGAUGCUUAACCAAAAUGAGAAACUAGAGUCUUUUAACAAAGGACAUUAUGUUGGCAAGGGGAUUAAGAAGUUACAGAUGGUGCUACCAGGGCAUGCGACAUUAUUAUUUUUGAGAAAUUAGUGAAAAAGUAGGCAAGUGAUACCCUGGCAAAUGUUAAAUUUAUCAAUGUACGACCGAAGUUUCUAUACAACAUGAUUAAGCUAUCAACGACUAUGAUUUUUUUCUUUUAUUUUUGAUUUCGUUCGCAUAUCCCUGUGAUGAAAUGUUUAGUAAUCUGAACUUCAACCAAAACUGUGAAUGAAUGGUGCUCCCUCAUAAGCAUGCUUUUGAGGUUGAGGAACCAAGAUUUCACGAUUUGUGGAUAUCUGGCAUUCUGAGGGAUAUUUUUAAGUCUAGUAAGUAAUAAGUCUCUUAAUUUCCUCCAUUUUUUUGGCCUCUAUAUUGCUCGCUCUUCCUUUUUGUUUUUCUUUGCUUGAAGUUGUAUUCUAGUCUUUUUAUUGUCCGCUGCUUUAUCUAUUUGGGUUAAUUAGAAUUCCCUCUAACAUCUGUAUGCAUACAAUUUAAUCUUGUUGAACAUCUGCAGUGUACCAAACCAGAAUUGUUUUUUAUCAAAUUGGUGUACACCACCUAAGUUUUUCACCAUAAUGACCUUUUUUCUUCUAAUUGUUCAUUCUGGGAAGUACCCUUUUUCUGCGUGCAUACAAGGAAACAGCUGUAAUCCUCUUAUUCAUGUUUCUUAUGUCUCCGAGUUGCAAGUAAAUAGGUAAGGAAUGAGAACUCUUAUUAUUGUCUUCUUAGAACAUUAAUAAUUAAUUAAGGUGGCUAACGUGAUCAGAAAAGGCAGAACUUUCAUAUUAGUGAUACAAUAUGCACAAGAGUAUCUGAAGUAAAACAUGGGGGGUGGUAAGUUCAUCAAAGUGCAAUUCGUAUGUUGUUUCUUAACUCUCUACUGAUAAAAGUAAGUUUAAAGAAAAAGAUGAGAAAAAGCCUUUGUUCUGAAAGUUGCGCAUACUUCUCUCUGUUUCUUCAGAAAGCUGUUUUUUUCUUUUCUUUUUCCCAACAUCAGUUAUUCUAUUACUUGGAGUAUUGUGAAGUAAUGUAUAUUGAAUGUAUACAUUCUUUUAAAUUUACAAUUCCUGAAUAGUGAUUAUUGAGUUUGCCGCAUCAACUUGUCGGUGUAAUCUGAGUGAUAAUCCGGAUCCUGGACAAAUUUUAUGGUUGCUGUAUUUAUUUCCAACCAGCAAUUACAAUGCGAGCAAAAGUGGCACUGGGGACAGAAGAGAUUCAGUGAAGCAAUGUGGAUGUUUGUGGAAGUGCAAGAAUAUAUUCAGCCAGAAAUAUGUCUCUGAUGUACUUUUCCUUUUUGUCAGUUAUAUGUUGAAAACCAUUCCCUUUCAUUUAAAAAAAGAUGAAAUAUGAUCUUGUGAUUUCCUUAGAAUAAUUUUGAUACAACUGCAGCGAUAACUGCACGCAAGUUAGACAUAAAGCGUUAUCUUGUGGUUUCCUGCAAAGUAGGUAUUUGUGUGUGUCCUUGAAAACCUUACUUGUAUGUGUGCAAUGUGCAUGGUCAUAGAAAUUAGCAAACAUUUUGGAGGUAAAUGUCCAAAAACCAAUUUCAGUAGUGUAACUGUCCAAUUUCACAUAGUUGCAGGGAGUAUAUUUGCAGUAUAUGUAGUGGUGCAAAACAGUAGCUUACAAUAUUUGGUGGUGGGAAAUGAAUUUUAAGAGGUAGUUAGGUAGCUGGAUACAAGUGAUUGUGUUUAGGAGUUUUUGGACUACAACAAAAUUGUUGCUAGGGCUGGCAAUCCAGCUCGCUGCGCAUGAGUCAACUCGAAAUGAGCUCAAGAUCGAUCGCUUGUUUAAUAAACAAGAGCCGAACAUGAGUUAAAUUUUUCAGCUCGAAAUUUUAACAAGUCGAAAACUAGCUAGAGUCAACUCCCACGUGGUCAGCUUGAUAUAGUUCGAAUAUAUAUAUAUAUAUAUAUAUAUAGAGAGAGAGAGAGAGAGAGAGAGAGAUUAUAUUUUGUGAAUACCAAUUGUAUCCUAAUUUUCUUUUAACUUUCAUCAAGUAGUAGGGCUCGUGUUCGGCUUGCUAAUAAAUAAGCAGAGCAUUUUUUUUUUGUUUGGCUCGUUUAAUCGGCACCUCGACAGGUUGUUACUAUUAAAAGAAAAAAAAGAGGAAAAAAAACUGAUAUUAUUGCCGAAGGUGUAGGUCCUUGAAUUGUGCAUUAUGUGCAUGCAUUUCUUUUUUUCACAUUAACUCUGCUGCUGCAGUACAACAGGGGUAGCAAAUUUUAAUUAAUAAUCCCAACUUCCCACAAUCUUUGAUGCUUACAAGUUGCUGAUCAAGAAUUUUUGUGGCAUAAAGUAAAGUCGUGCUGGGUAUUUACCAGCACAGUACAGCAUAGCGUUUUGCUUAGCGUAUCAAUGUGUAUUGUUGACAAAUAUAACUGCGUAUAUACUUUGGUACAAAAUAUAUAUAUUUUUUGGCACCAAUAUAUUCUUAAUAAUUAAAAAAAAACAAAAGAAAAAAAAAUCAAUCAUUGGUUGAGCUCCGAUUCCCACCUUUGCUGUGUAAUCUGUAGGGUUCUGCCACAUAUCACCUCAUUGAGUUUUCAGCAAAAAUCAUGACAAGAAAACAAUUUAUAUGAACCUUGUUUACUAAAAAUUUGUCCAAAGAGUCUCAAAAUGCAACAUAAACUGUUGAAAAACUGUAGUUCUUUUACAAGCUUGGAUAAAUGAGGUAUAGCCAAUCACUAUAUACCUAAAGAAUAACUUACUCCCGAGGAGGGAAUUUGUGACCAUUAAAACAAAGAUUUCGAUAUAGAAAAGAAAUAUCAAUGAAACAAAACUAUGAUUGUGUUAGUAAUUCAACUAAUUUUGCUUCUGUCACUAAAUUUGAGGAAUCUAAACUGCGAACGGGUCGAUUUUAGACCUCCUCAACUGCUUUUGAGUCUGAACUGCUGACAGGCUUCUGCAAUCUUUCUACAACCGGAUAGCUUCGACGUUCCUUCCCCCCGGGUUUUGCCGAGGCGUUGCCGUACCAAACCAUUCCUAUAACAGCUAGGAUCAUGCCGAGAACUACGUGAAAGUUGAGACCCUCCUUUCCGAAGAAGGUGAAUCCGAGGAUCAACACGAGUAUCGUCUUCAUGUGACCUAUCACCUGGAAAGACACCGCCGAGAAUCGACCUAUGCAUAUGAAUUGGCUCAGGUUGGUUCCAACCGCUAUCGAGCAUGACGAGAUUAUGAAAAGCUGCAGAGCGGAAAGUAGAGAAUUUCGAUGAGACAAUAACUCGUAUAUAUUUUCUACCGUUCAGUCGUGAUUAAUCUUAGAAAGCCAAUGGUGUUCAUAUUAGUAAAAUCUCAUGUAAACGAGAAAACGAAGAAGCAGCACAUUACGUAACAAGAUUGCGAAGGUGUAGCAGCAUUUGUACUAUCUUUCGAUUUUCAAAUCAUCACAUACUUCUUAAAAUGCAGGGUCAGUAGUUACCACAGAAGGCACAGUGUAGUUGAACGCGUCCACCCGUUUGCUGGUCAACCAGAAAUCCAUGAAAGGCCCUACUAGCAGAAGAGAUGCUGCCUGGCCAGGAGCAGUGUGGCUCAAGAGGUUGAAGGACGUAAGCGAAUACUUCCGUUGAAGAAAAUGAACAUACUGCGUUGAAAAGCAAUAUUUAAAUUACAACACAACGGAGCAAUGCUAAAAGCUAGGAGGGCUUUUUCUUGUUGAGUAUUUGAUGCCGACUUAUUUCAUUCCACAGGCAGUGAAAAUUUCAAUUUACUUGUACCAAGCCACUGUAGCAUCUGAUUUUGCCACUUAGCGCUACACCCUUCAUUUAAACAACGAUAAAUUGUUUCUAAGUAAAAACUAUGUUUCUUGUGGUCAGGAACGGAACUUGCGAUAUACGAAGUAAGAAAAGAAAUCAAGGACUAAAGUACUUGAGUAAAAGCUUCAGAGAAUUAAGUCGCGAAAUUGGAAGAGCCUUUUGUAAACUUACAUAUUGUUGCAAAGAAGUGCUCCAAACUGCUAUAGUUGCUGCUAAUACACCUCUAGCAUUGACGCUCACGUCGGUGACCGUACAAACUGCAACACCUACGAGAACCACCACUAUACUGAGCUUUGUGUCCCGAGAAUAACGGACCUUAUCCAACAAAACUUCUAGGAGACAAGAUACUGGUAUCAUACAGAGCUUCGUUAUCUGGAGACCACGGAAUAGCACGGAAAUUUAAAAAAAAAAAAACUCAUCACUCAACCAAACUAUUAAGAAAUAGUGCAUAAGAUCCAUAAUCGACCUGAUAAAACCCCACGGAAUUCCACAUCAGACUGACGUUCAUGCCGACAAUUGACAAGUUCGCACAAAUGACGAACUUGAUGAGUUCAGGUACAGGUAAGUGGGAGGGCUGAACAAGUCCCAACCACCUUAGAACAAUUGUCAUAAUAGUCGUGGUUGCAAAAUGCAGGCCAGUUAGUGAUGUCGCUGUAAAACAUAAUCACGAAAACAGCACCAAAAUCAGGAAUGCUUUUUUGAAUGGAUCAAAAUCACACUUCUUAGCUGUAUCAGAUUAAUAAAAUU
RNAcentral lists this long non-coding RNA (9289 nucleotides) under Ananas comosus (pineapple). RNAcentral describes it as "long non-coding RNA (ACOM_LNC020758)". The stretch from base 4968 to 5100 matches the Rfam family "small nucleolar RNA snoR130". Lineage: Eukaryota; Viridiplantae; Streptophyta; Magnoliopsida; Poales; Bromeliaceae. The record is from RNAcentral.